RNAcentral lists this ribosomal RNA (1533 nucleotides) under Triticum aestivum (bread wheat). RNAcentral's name for it is "partial small subunit ribosomal RNA". Lineage: Eukaryota; Viridiplantae; Streptophyta; Magnoliopsida; Poales; Poaceae. The record is from RNAcentral.
AUGGAGAUGGAGCGCUGGUUAAGCUUGUAUUUCAUAGGCAUAUCCACGGUGCUAGCCCUCUGGUUUCUCAUAUUCUUUGGCAGCAAGAGAAACCCCAAGAAGAAGCAACUCCCUCCCGGGCCGUGGACUCUCCCGAUCAUCGGAAGCCUCCACCACCUCGUCGGUGACCUCCCACACCGCAGGAUGAUGAAGAUGUCUCGCCAGCAUGGGCCGCUGAUGCAUCUCAGGCUAGGUGAGGUCCCAACAGUAAUCGUCUCCAGCGCUGAGGCAGCGGCACUGGUUAUGAAGACCAACGACCUCGACUUCGCAAGCCGGCCCCGCAGUCCGUUGCAGGAUAUCAUGGGCUGUGGCGGUAUGGGCAUCAUCUUCGGCCCCUACGGGGAUCGGUGGCGCCAGAUGCGCAAGAUCUGUAUCGUGGAGCUUCUCAGUUCCAAGCAGGUGAGGCGUAUGGAGGGCAUCAAGGCCAACGAGGUAGGUAACCUCCUCCAUUCCAUGGCCGCCGCCGGUGCUACCGUAAAUGUGAGCGCGAAGAUGGCAACACUCAGCAGCAAUGUCGUGACGCGAGCAGUUUUCGGCGGCAAGUUCACACGGCAGGAUGAGUACCUCCAUGAGCUAAGCAAGGUGAACGAGCUUAUGGGCAGCUUCUGCCUCGUGGACCUUUUCCCGUCAUCACGGCUGGUGCGGUUGCUCAGCAAUGGUGAGCGCCUUAUGAGGAGCAGCUAUGGCCGUAUCCAGCACAUCAUCACUGAGAUCAUCGAGACGCGCAAGGCUGCGCGAGCUGCCGGUGGCCAUGCCCGCAGCACCAAUGAUGAGGACCUACUGGACGUACUACUCAGGCUGCAGGAAGAUGACUCGUUGACCUUCCCUCUAACUUCAGAGAUUAUCGGAGUCGUCAUUUUUGACAUAUUUGGAGCUGCUACUGAGACCACCGGAACUGCAGUGGAGUGGGCUAUGUCAGAGCUAUUGAACAACCCUGAAGCAAUGGCUAAAGCACAACAAGAAGUCCGGGAAGUGCUAGGCCAAGGUCGACAUGUCAUCACAAGUACCGACCUCAAUGAGCUCCGAUACAUGCAGAUGGUCAUCAAGGAGGUGUUAAGGUUGCAUCCUCCGGCUCCGUUGCUCGUCCCCAGAGAGACGAGAGAGGACUGUGAAAUCAUGGGCUAUAACAUGCCUAAAGGCACUAAUAUCUUUGUUAAUGUCUUUGCAAUUUCUCGGGAUCCCAAAUAUUGGGACAACCCCAAAGAGUUCAAGCCGGAGAGGUUUGAGAACAGCAAUGUCGAAUAUUAUGGGACGCAUUUUGAAUUCAUUCCUUUCGGGGCUGGGCGAAGGCAAUGCCCUGGGAUAUUGUUUGCCAUGUCGACCGUGGAGAUUGUCUUGGCAAACCUACUCUACCACUUUGACUGGGUGCUUCCUGGAGGGGCAAGUGCAGAGUCAGUGGAUAUGUCUGAGAAAUUUGGGGUCAGUGUAAGGAGAAAAUUGGACCUGCAGUUGAUAGCCAUUCCAUAUAAACGUUCCAAGGCUAUUUCGAUAUAG